Molecule: transfer RNA, 72 nt
Filed under: Herbaspirillum sp.
Lineage: Bacteria; Pseudomonadati; Pseudomonadota; Betaproteobacteria; Burkholderiales; Oxalobacteraceae
Description: tRNA-Pro
Rfam family: tRNA
About the family: Transfer RNA (tRNA) molecules are approximately 80 nucleotides in length.
Source: RNAcentral
GGCUCAGUGGUCUAAUGGUAUGAUUUUCGGUUUGGGUGCGACAGGCUCCGGGUUCGAUUCCCGGCUGAGCCC